UCUGCCGGUCGGGCGGCCGCGCGCGGAAACGCUCGAGGAACGUCCGGGCUCCGUAGGGCAGGGUGAUGGCUAACAGCCACCCGGGGUAACCCGCGGGACAGUGCCACAGAAAACAAACCACCGGCGCACACGCGUCGGUAAGGGUGAAAAGGUGAGGUAAGAGCUCACCAGCGGCGCGGGCGACCGCGUCGGCUAGGUAAACCCCACCCGGAGCAAGACCGAGCAGCAGGCAGGGCGGCCCGUCCGAUGCCUGCGGGUAGGUUGCUGGAGGCCGUCGGUAACGACGGUCCUAGAUAGAUGGUCGCCACCGCGUGUCCGGUAACGGCGCGAGGAACAGAACCCGGCGUAUAGGCUGACAGAUCCC
RNAcentral lists this RNase P RNA (364 nucleotides) under Actinomyces sp. Its description in RNAcentral is "RNase P RNA component class A". It matches the Rfam family "Bacterial RNase P class A". From Rfam's summary of the family: Ribonuclease P (RNase P) is a ubiquitous endoribonuclease, found in archaea, bacteria and eukarya as well as chloroplasts and mitochondria. Its best characterised activity is the generation of mature 5'-ends of tRNAs by cleaving the 5'-leader elements of precursor-tRNAs. Lineage: Bacteria; Bacillati; Actinomycetota; Actinomycetes; Actinomycetales; Actinomycetaceae. The record is from RNAcentral.